AGCCCGCUCGCCGGAAGACCAAGGGUUCCUGUCCAACGUUAAUCGGGGCAGGGUGAGUCGACCCCUAAGGCGAGGCCGAAAGGCGUAGUCGAUGGGAAACAGGUUAAUAUUCCUGUACUUGGUGUUACUGCGAAGGGGGGACGGAGAAGGCUAUGUUGGCCGGGCGACGGUUGUCCCGGUUUAAGCGUGUAGGCUGGUUUUCCAGGCAAAUCCGGAAAACCAAGGCUGAGGCGUGAUGACGAGGCACUACGGUGCUGAAGCGACAAAUGCCCUGCUUCCAGGAAAAGCCUCUAAGCAUCAGGUAACAUCAAAUCGUACCCCAAACCGACACAGGUGGUCAGGUAGAGAAUACCAAGGCGCUUGAGAGAACUCGGGUGAAGGAACUAGGCAAAAUGGUGCCGUAACUUCGGGAGAAGGCACGCUGAUAUGUAGGUGAAGCGACUUGCUCGUGGAGCUGAAAUCAGUCGAAGAUACCAGCUGGCUGCAACUGUUUAUUAAAAACACAGCACUGUGCAAACACGAAAGUGGACGUAUACGGUGUGACGCCUGCCCGGUGCCGGAAGGUUAAUUGAUGGGGUUAGCGGUAACGCGAAGCUCUUGAUCGAAGCCCCGGUAAACGGCGGCCGUAACUAUAACGGUCCUAAGGUAGCGAAAUUCCUUGUCGGGUAAGUUCCGACCUGCACGAAUGGCGUAAUGAUGGCCAGGCUGUCUCCACCCGAGACUCAGUGAAAUUGAACUCGCUGUGAAGAUGCAGUGUACCCGCGGCAAGACGGAAAGACCCCGUGAACCUUUACUAUAGCUUGACACUGAACAUUGAGCCUUGAUGUGUAGGAUAGGUGGGAGGCUUUGAAGUGUGGACGCCAGUCUGCAUGGAGCCGACCUUGAAAUACCACCCUUUAAUGUUUGAUGUUCUAACGUUGGCCCGUAAUCCGGGUUGCGGACAGUGUCUGGUGGGUAGUUUGACUGGGGCGGUCUCCUCCUAAAGAGUAACGGAGGAGCACGAAGGUUGGCUAAUCCUGGUCGGACAUCAGGAGGUUAGUGCAAUGGCAUAAGCCAGCUUGACUGCGAGCGUGACGGCGCGAGCAGGUGCGAAAGCAGGUCAUAGUGAUCCGGUGGUUCUGAAUGGAAGGGCCAUCGCUCAACGGAUAAAAGGUACUCCGGGGAUAACAGGCUGAUACCGCCCAAGAGUUCAUAUCGACGGCGGUGUUUGGCACCUCGAUGUCGGCUCAUCACAUCCUGGGGCUGAAGUAGGUCCCAAGGGUAUGGCUGUUCGCCAUUUAAAGUGGUACGCGAGCUGGGUUUAGAACGUCGUGAGACAGUUCGGUCCCUAUCUGCCGUGGGCGCUGGAGAACUGAGGGGGGCUGCUCCUAGUACGAGAGGACCGGAGUGGACGCAUCACUGGUGUUCGGGUUGUCAUGCCAAUGGCACUGCCCGGUAGCUAAAUGCGGAAGAGAUAAGUGCUGAAAGCAUCUAAGCACGAAACUUGCCCCGAGAUGAGUUCUCCCUGACUCCUUGAGAGUCCUGAAGGAACGUUGAAGACGACGACGUUGAUAGGCCGGGUGUGUAAGCGCAGCGAUGCGUUGAGCUAACCGGUACUAAUGAACCGUGAGGCUUAACC
Molecule: ribosomal RNA, 1618 nt
Filed under: Escherichia coli
Lineage: Bacteria; Pseudomonadati; Pseudomonadota; Gammaproteobacteria; Enterobacterales; Enterobacteriaceae
Description: bacterial LSU rRNA
Rfam family: Bacterial large subunit ribosomal RNA
Source: RNAcentral